ACGGAAGGCAGCAGUGGGGAAUAUUGCACAAUGGGCGCAAGCCUGAUGCAGCGAUGCCGCGUGAGGGAAGAAGGUUUUCGGAUUGUAAACCUCUGUCAAUAGGGGCGAAACAGACGGUACCUAUGAAGGGAGCUCCGGCUAACUACGUGCCAGCAGCCGCGGUAAUACGUAGGGAGCAAGCGUUAUCCGGAAUUACUGGGUGUAAAGGGAGUGUAGGCGGGACUGUAAGUCAGAUGUGAAAUAUACCGGCUCAACUGGUAGACUGCAUUUGAAACUGCGGUUCUUGAGUGAAGUAGAGGUAAGCGGAAUUCCUAGUGUAGCGGUGAAACGCGUAGAUAUUAGGAGGAACAUCAGUGGCGAAGGCGGCUUACUGGGCUUUAACUGACGCUGAGGCUCGAAAGCGUGGGGAGCAAACAGGAUUAGAUACCCUGGUA
This 434-nucleotide ribosomal RNA is filed under the name uncultured Ruminococcus sp. RNAcentral's name for it is "partial 16S ribosomal RNA". It matches the Rfam family "Bacterial small subunit ribosomal RNA", at positions 341 to 792 of the family's 1533-position model. The record is from RNAcentral. Lineage: Bacteria; Bacillati; Bacillota; Clostridia; Eubacteriales; Oscillospiraceae.